Molecule: ribosomal RNA, 497 nt
Filed under: uncultured bacterium
Lineage: Bacteria
Description: partial 16S ribosomal RNA
Rfam family: Bacterial small subunit ribosomal RNA
Source: RNAcentral
GACGAACGCUGGCGGCGUGCCUAAUACAUGCAAGUUGAACGCGGAAUUUGGGUACUUGUACCAACUGGAUGAUCAGCGAACGGGUGAGUAACGCGGGGGGAGUCUGCCUUUGAGCGGGGGAUAACAUUUGGGAACGAAUGCUAAGGCCGCAUAAAAUAUUUACAUACAAGUUUUCAGUUUUAAAGAUGCUAUUGCAUCAGUCAAAGAUGAUCCCGCGUUGUAUUAGCUAGUUGGUGGGGUAAAGGGUCACCAAGGCGAUGGUACAUAACCGGCCUGAGAGGGUGAUCGUCCACAUUGGGACUGAGACACGGCCCAAACUCCUUCGGGCGGAAGCAGUAGCGAGUCUUCGGCGAGAGACGGAAGUGGGGAAGAGCAACGCCGCGUGGGAGAAGAAGGUUAUCGGAGCGUAAAAAGCGGUUGGUAGAGAAGGACGUUAGUGAGAGUGGAAAGCGCAUCAAGUGAAGGUAACCACCAAGAAAAGGACGGCUAACUACGUG